UACGUAGGCAGCAAGCGUUGUUCGGAGUUACUGGGCGUAAAGGGUGCGUAGGCGGCUUUUUAAGUUUGGUGUGAAAUCUCCCGGCUCAACUGGGAGGGUGCGCCGAAUACUGAGAGGCUAGAGUGUGGGAGAGGAAAGUGGAAUUCCUGGUGUAGCGGUGAAAUGCGUAGAUAUCAGGAGGAACACCGGUGGUGUAAACGGCUUUCUGGACCAUAACUGACGCUGAGGCACGAAAGCGUUGGGUAGCAAACAGG
RNAcentral lists this ribosomal RNA (254 nucleotides) under uncultured bacterium. Its description in RNAcentral is "partial 16S ribosomal RNA". It matches the Rfam family "Bacterial small subunit ribosomal RNA", at positions 524 to 776 of the family's 1533-position model. The record is from RNAcentral.